Long non-coding RNA from Lynx canadensis (Canada lynx), 658 nucleotides. RefSeq lists it as uncharacterized. NCBI's taxonomy places the organism in Eukaryota, Metazoa, Chordata, Mammalia, Carnivora, Felidae. The transcript is spliced from 3 exons. The record is from RefSeq and is a predicted model, not a curated record.
UUCAUCGAGGGUAUGGCAUCUAUCCCAAGAAUCCAGCACAUAUCAGGUAUUGAGCGGAUUAUAGUAGCUGACGCUGAGCACUCUUUCUGUUCCAGGCACUGUUCUAAGCUAUUCACCCAUAUUAACUUACUUUAUUCUUACAACCACCACCCAAGAAGUUGUUACUAUAGUCAUACCUAUUUUCCAGAUGAGGAAAUCGAGGCACUGAGAGACCCCAGGCAGAACCGGAGAAGCAGAGAGGUAGGGGAGUCCUAACCAAGUGCACCCACCCAGAUGAGUAAACAGCCAGCCUCCAUUUCCUAGGCAACCUUGACGCGUCGUCCCCUACCUGCAACCUCAUGUUUCCCUGGGAUGCUCUUCCAGACAUUUUUACAUCAGUUCUCUCCACUCUUCACACUUGGAGGGCUGUAGUCUAAGGUAAGAGCACAUCUCCAUAUUCAGUGUAAGGGUCUCUACUAAUCACUCCUGCUGGUUGUUCAUUGGCUCCAGCUGUCCACAUGUUGAGUCUCAUGGGCAAAAACCUGACCUCUCUUGGAUUUAAUGAACAGUUGACCCUAGAACAGCAGGUGUUUGAACUGCGCAGGUACAUGUAUACGUGGAUAUUUUGAUAAAUAGAUGCAUACGGUACAGGAUGGUAAAUGUAUUUUCUCUUAUGAUC